GGGCAGCGGCGGGGGCAGAGCUGCGGGCAGAGCUCCUCGCCUGCGCCGAGCCCCGUCCCACGCGAGACAGCGAGAAGCCGUGGGUCAGCGAAGCCUCGCAACAGGGGCACCCCCGGCUGUGGAGUUUCCCACAGAAAGAGAGAAGUUAUCACUCGGAAGAUACCGCCUCAAGCUCAGGGGUGGCAAAACUUGCCGUGGAUGAUACUUGCCGAUUCCUGCUCUUGAAACGUUAAGGACCUUAGUUUUCUUGGUGCAUUUAGUUUUUUAGAACAGCCCAUUUCUGUCCCCAGAAAUAUAUUUGGUACAAAGAUUGCAAAAUCCUCAUUUGCUCGAUGUAGGCUCAUUGCAAAUUUGUUACUUUUUUUCCCUCUUGAACACACCAAAUUAUCCAGGAUUGCAUCAAGGCUUUUCUUUCCAGAGCCCCUGAAAGCCAAAGCCAUGCUCCUUUGCUUUUUAGCAAGUCAGUUUGUCCCUGUGCCGUUGCUUGGGCUGACUGUGGGAGAUGCUCCCCAACCCGUGCCAGUGCCAGCGCUCCCGAGAUGGCAGUGCCAGCGCUCCCGAGAUGGCAGGGCCACCUCAUCGCCCAGCCUCAGCUCGGGCCAGGCCAGCUCCACGGCCGCGGGCAGCGUGGCCUCCCUGAGGAGCUGCAGGGACAGCUCUCCUUCGCUCCCGUCCAGACUCUCGGGCAGACUCCAUCUAUCUCAUCUAAUUGUUUUGUGCGAUUCAUUGUCCUUUAUCUUCUCCUAUCUCCUAUCGUCCGAGGUUUGCCCAACCGCGGCUCCAGGCGACGUCACGUUUCAAGUGCUUUCCUCAUUGCUUGUGCGCACACACACUCAUCCGCGGCCGUGAUGACGGGGUUGCAGCUCGCUUGUUGGCAGAACCAGUUCACGCGGGCUGAGGAGACAGGUUGCCCGUUCCGGCUUGGUUAUGUAUUGCUUACUUGCAGGAAUUAUUCAUUGUUUGCUUCUGGUUUUGUUUUUUAAUGGCUGUACAAUUUAUUAGGUGCACUCAUAAGUAUCUGGGAAGCUUUCUUUUUCCUGUUUCUCAGAUAUGUGAAACAUCCACAAGUGUGGAAUUUCAAUUAAAAAUUGCAUUUAUAUUGCUUAAUUCUUUCUACAUAGACUGGCUUCAGUAGAGCUGGAUGAGUUCAGUCCAUAGCUCCUUCAUGGUUAUUUGCACCAUAUUAGAGAAAGAGUCUUCAAAAUUAUUUCAUUCUUAUUUUAUCCACCUGUAUGACGACACGUUCAAGAGUUUUUGACAUGUUAAUGUGAAGAGUAAAAUUACAGCCCUGCCGGUGCAGCUGGGAGUUUUGCUGCUGAUGCCAGCAACAUAGGAUCUCAUCCAGAGACAUGGCGUAAAGCAGGAAAGCAGGAAUGAAAGUGCAUGGCCAGGGCCGGCACUCUGGAGGUAUUUUAAAACAUCUCUUUGUCAACCACAAGCCAAUAUUUAUCUGAUCUGCCUACAUGCUUGUGUCUCCCCAUUGUCAUUAUAACACUCCCCAAGUACUAAAAUAAAACUAACAAUCUGUA
Aquila chrysaetos chrysaetos is the source of this 1529-nucleotide long non-coding RNA. RefSeq lists it as uncharacterized. The transcript is spliced from 2 exons. Lineage: Eukaryota; Metazoa; Chordata; Aves; Accipitriformes; Accipitridae. The record is from RefSeq and is a predicted model, not a curated record.